This 148-nucleotide non-coding RNA is filed under the name Chlorocebus sabaeus (green monkey). The record is from Rfam by way of RNAcentral. Lineage: Eukaryota; Metazoa; Chordata; Mammalia; Primates; Cercopithecidae.
GCUGGGUGUAGUGGCGCACACCUGUAGUCCCAACUACUCAGGGACCUGAGACGGGAGGAUCACUUGAGCCCAGGAGGUCGAGGCUGCAGUGAGCUAUGAUCAUGUCAUUGCACUCCAGCCUGGGUGACAAAGUGAGACCCUGUCUCUA